CCCUUAGAUGUUCUGGGCUGCACGCGCGCUACACUGAUGCGCUCAACGAGUUUUAACCUUGCCUGGAAAGGUUGGGUAAUCUUUUUAAAACGCAUCGUGAUGGGGAUAGAUUAUUGCAAUUAUUAAUCUUCAACGAGGAAUUCCUAGUAAGCGCGAGUCAUCAGCUCGUGCUGAUUACGUCCCUGCCCUUUGUACACACCACCCGUCGCUCCUACCGAUUGGGUGUGCUGGUGAAAUGUUCGGAUCGGCCGUUUGUCGCGGUUUCCGCGUCAUGUGGCUGAGAAGUUCAUUAAACCCUCCCACCUAGAGGAAGGAGAAGUCGUAACA
This 327-nucleotide ribosomal RNA is filed under the name uncultured eukaryote. Its description in RNAcentral is "partial 18S ribosomal RNA". It matches the Rfam family "Eukaryotic small subunit ribosomal RNA", at positions 1470 to 1796 of the family's 1831-position model. The record is from RNAcentral.